RNAcentral lists this ribosomal RNA (500 nucleotides) under uncultured bacterium. Its description in RNAcentral is "partial 16S ribosomal RNA". It matches the Rfam family "Bacterial small subunit ribosomal RNA", at positions 29 to 523 of the family's 1533-position model. The record is from RNAcentral.
AUUGAACGCUGGCGGAAUGCUUUACACAUGCAAGUCGAACGGCAGCACGGGGGCAACCCUGGUGGCGAGUGGCGAACGGGUGAGUAAUACAUCGGAACGUGCCCAGCCGUGGGGGAUAACGUAGCGAAAGUUACGCUGAUACCGCAUACGAUCUACGGAUGAAAGCGGGGGACCGUAAGGCCUCGCGCGAUUGGAGCGGCCGAUGUCAGAUUAGGUAGUUGGUGAGGUAAAGGCUCACCAAGCCGACGAUCUGUAGCUGGUCUGAGAGGACGACCAGCCACACAGGGACUGAGACACGGCCCAGACUCCUACGGGAGGCAGCAGUGGGGAAUUUUGGACAAUGGGCGCAAGCCUGAUCCAGCCAUUCCGCGUGCAGGACGAAGGCCUUCGGGUUGUAAACUGCUUUUGUACGGAACGAAAAGGCUCUGGUUAAUACCUGGGGCUCAUGACGGUACCGUAAGAAUAAGCACCGGCUAACUACGUGCCAGCAGCCGCGGUAA